AGGUUUUAAGUUAAUUUAAACUAUAAGCCUUCAAAGCUUAAAAUAAAGAUUUAUUUUUUUAAACCUUG
Molecule: transfer RNA, 68 nt
Filed under: Alcithoe arabica
Lineage: Eukaryota; Metazoa; Mollusca; Gastropoda; Neogastropoda; Volutidae
Description: tRNA-Trp
Rfam family: tRNA
About the family: Transfer RNA (tRNA) molecules are approximately 80 nucleotides in length. Their secondary structure includes four short double-helical elements and three loops (D, anti-codon, and T loops).
Source: RNAcentral